RNAcentral lists this ribosomal RNA (253 nucleotides) under uncultured bacterium. RNAcentral describes it as "partial 16S ribosomal RNA". It matches the Rfam family "Bacterial small subunit ribosomal RNA", at positions 524 to 776 of the family's 1533-position model. The record is from RNAcentral.
GACGAACCGAGCGAACGUUGUUCGGAAUCACUGGGCUUAAAGGGCGCGUAGGCGGGCUGUCAAGUCUGGGGUGAAAUCCCGCGGCUCAACCGUGGAACUGCCUCAGAUACUGACGGUCUCGAGGGGGAUAGGGGCGAGCGGAACUGUGAGUGGAGCGGUGAAAUGCGUAGAUAUCCUGAGGAACACCGGUGGCGAAAGCGGCGCGCUGGAUCCCUUCUGACGCUGAGGCGCGAAAGCCAGGGGAGCAAACGGG